Acanthosepion pharaonis is the source of this 111-nucleotide non-coding RNA. Lineage: Eukaryota; Metazoa; Mollusca; Cephalopoda; Sepiida; Sepiidae. The record is from the annotation of a GenBank genome assembly.
CAGCCAUAUCACAUUGAAACACCAGUUCUUGUAUGAUCACCAAAGUUAAGCAAUGUUGAGUCUGUUCAGUACCUAGAUGGGUGACCGCUUGGGAAUAGCAGGUGCUGUAAG